This 497-nucleotide ribosomal RNA is filed under the name uncultured bacterium. RNAcentral's name for it is "partial 16S ribosomal RNA". The stretch from base 12 to 383 matches the Rfam family "Bacterial small subunit ribosomal RNA", at positions 39 to 400 of the family's 1533-position model. The record is from RNAcentral.
GAUGAACGCUGGCGGCGUGCCUAAUACAUGCAAGUCGAGCGAACAGACGAGGAGCUUGCUCCUCUGACGUUAGCGGCGGACGGGUGAGUAACACGUGGAUAACCUACCUAUAAGACUGGGAUAACUUCGGGAAACCGGAGCUAAUACCGGAUAAUAUAUUGAACCGCAUGGUUCAAUAGUGAAAGACGGUUUUGCUGUCACUUAUAGAUGGAUCCGCGCCGCAUUAGCUAGUUGGUAAGGUAACGGCUUACCAAGGCAACGAUGCAAAGCCGACCUGAGAGGGGGAGAGGCCACUGGGGAAUUGAGACAAGAUCAAGACAACUAGGGGAGGGAGCAGUGGGGAAGAGAAGGAAAGGGGCGAAAGCAGGACGGAGAAACGUCGCGCGAGUGAAGAAGGUAAUAGGAUCGUAAAAACGUGGUAUGAGGGAAGAACAUAUGUGGAAGGAAAGGAGAAGAGCAUGAGGGGAUGGAAGAAGAAAGAAGCGGAUAAAUAUGGG